GAGUUUGAUCCUGGCUCAGGAUGAACGCUAGCGGCAGGCUUAACACAUGCAAGUCGAACGGUAACAUGAGAGCUUGCUCUUGAUGACGAGUGGCGCACGGGUGCGUAACGCGUAUGCAACUUACCUCUAACAAAGGAAUAGCCCAUAGAAAUGUGGAUAAAACCUUAUAAUAUAUUAGAUUGGCCUCAAUUUGAUAUUAAAACUACGGUGGUUAGAGAUAGGCAUGCGUCCCAUUAGCUAGUUGGUAAGGUAACGGCUUACCAAGGCAACGAUGGGUAGGGGGCCUGAGAGGGUGACCCCCCACACUGGUACUGAGACACGGACCAGACUCCUACGGGAGGCAGCAGUGAGGAAUAUUGGACAAUGGAGGUAACUCUGAUCCAGCCAUGCCGCGUGCAGGAAGACGGCCCUAUGGGUUGUAAACUGCUUUUAUAUAGGAAGAAACCAUCUCUCGUGAGAGAUAUUGACGGUACUAUAAGAAUAAGGACCGGCUAACUCCGUGCCAGCAGCCGCGGUAAUACGGAGGGUCCGAGCGUUAAUCGGAAUUAUUGGGUUUAAAUGGUCCGUAGGCGGGAAUCUAAGUCAGUGGUGAAAUCUUGCAGCUCAACUGUAAAAUUGCCAUUGAUACUGGAUUUCUUGAAUUAGUGUUAAGUGAUUAGAAUGUGUAGUGUAGCGGUGAAAUGCAUAGAUAUUACACAGAAUACCACUUGCGAAGGCAAGAUCACUAACACUAUAUUGACGCUGAGGGACGAAGGCGUGGGGAGCGAACAGGAUUAGAUACCCUGGUAGUCCACGCCGUAAACGAUGGAUACUAGCUGUCCGGAUUCGGACUGAGUGACUAAGCGAAAGUGAUAAGUAUCCCACCUGGGGAGUACGUUCGCAAGAAUGAAACUCAAAGGAAUUGACGGGGGCCCGCACAAGCGGUGGAGCAUGUGGUUUAAUUCGAUCAUACGCGAGGAACCUUACCAGGGCUUAAAUGUAUAUUGACAGGGGUAGAAAUACCUUUUCCUUCGGGCAAUUUACAAGGUGCUGCAUGGUUGUCGUCAGCUCGAGCCGUGAGGUGUCAGGUUCAGUCCUAUAACGAGCGCAACCCCUGUUGUUAGUUGCCAGCGAGUAAUGUCGGGAACUCUAACAAGACUGCCAGUGCAAACUGUGAGGAAGGUGGGGAUGACGUCAAAUCAUCACGGCCCUUACGUCCUGGGCCACACACGUGCUACAAUGGCCGGUACAGAGAGCAGCCACUACGCGAGUAGGAGCGAAUCUUCAAAACCGGUCUCAGUUCGGAUCGGAGUCUGCAACUCGACUCCGUGAAGCUGGAAUCGCUAGUAAUCGCAUAUCAGCCAUGAUGCGGUGAAUACGUUCCCGGGCCUUGUACACACCCCCGUCACACCAUGGGAGUUGGUUCUACCCGACGACGCUG
RNAcentral lists this ribosomal RNA (1420 nucleotides) under uncultured prokaryote. Its description in RNAcentral is "partial 16S ribosomal RNA". It matches the Rfam family "Bacterial small subunit ribosomal RNA". The record is from RNAcentral.